RNAcentral lists this long non-coding RNA (200 nucleotides) under Lathyrus oleraceus (garden pea). RNAcentral's name for it is "Pisum sativum (pea) long non-coding RNA (PSAT_LNC004378)". Lineage: Eukaryota; Viridiplantae; Streptophyta; Magnoliopsida; Fabales; Fabaceae. The record is from RNAcentral.
UCCCAUGACAUUGAUGGGAGGGUAAGGACCCCUUACCAUCUUGGCUGCCUAAUAAUCACCCAUAGGUAAAGAAAUUUCCCCACUACCUAGAAGUUGAAUCUUUCACUUUCCUACGUUCACUUCCCAAGGCUAAACAUAUUCUAAAUUCUAAAAUUGACCGCUUCUCAAAUUUCUAUUAUUUUUCUCGUACCCUUGCUCAG